GGUUAAGCGACUAAGCGUACACGGUGGAUGCCCUGGCAGUCAGAGGCGAUGAAGGACGUGCUAAUCUGCGAUAAGCGUCGGUAAGGUGAUAUGAACCGUUAUAACCGGCGAUUUCCGAAUGGGGAAACCCAGUGUGAUUCGUCACACUAUCAUUAACUGAAUCCAUAGGUUAAUGAGGCGAACCGGGGGAACUGAAACAUCUAAGUACCCCGAGGAAAAGAAAUCAACCGAGAUUCCCCCAGUAGCGGCGAGCGAACGGGGAGCAGCCCAGAGCCUGAAUCAGUGUGUGUGUUAGUGGAAGCGUCUGGAAAGGCGCGCGAUACAGGGUGACAGCCCCGUACACAAAAAUGCACAUGCUGUGAGCUCGAUGAGUAGGGCGGGACACGUGGUAUCCUGUCUGAAUAUGGGGGGACCAUCCUCCAAGGCUAAAUACUCCUGACUGACCGAUAGUGAACCAGUACCGUGAGGGAAAGGCGAAAAGAACCCCGGCGAGGGGAGUGAAAAAGAACCUGAAACCGUGUACGUACAAGCAGUGGGAGCACAGAGCAAUCUGUGUGACUGCGUACCUUUUGUAUAAUGGGUCAGCGACUUAUAUUCUGUAGCAAGGUUAACCGAAUAGGGGAGCCGAAGGGAAACCGAGUCUUAACUGGGCGUUAAGUUGCAGGGUAUAGACCCGAAACCCGGUGAUCUAGCCAUGGGCAGGUUGAAGGUUGGGUAACACUAACUGGAGGACCGAACCGACUAAUGUUGAAAAAUUAGCGGAUGACUUGUGGCUGGGGGUGAAAGGCCAAUCAAACCGGGAGAUAGCUGGUUCUCCCCGAAAGCUAUUUAGGUAGCGCCUCGUGAAUUCAUCUCCGGGGGUAGAGCACUGUUUCGGCAAGGGGGUCAUCCCGACUUACCAACCCGAUGCAAACUGCGAAUACCGGAGAAUGUUAUCACGGGAGACACACGGCGGGUGCUAACGUCCGUCGUGAAGAGGGAAACAACCCAGACCGCCAGCUAAGGUCCCAAAGUCAUGGUUAAGUGGGAAACGAUGUGGGAAGGCCCAGACAGCCAGGAUGUUGGCUUAGAAGCAGCCAUCAUUUAAAGAAAGCGUAAUAGCUCACUGGUCGAGUCGGCCUGCGCGGAAGAUGUAACGGGGCUAAACCAUGCACCGAAGCUGCGGCAGCGACGCUUAUGCGUUGUUGGGUAGGGGAGCGUUCUGUAAGCCUGUGAAGGUGUACUGUGAGGUAUGCUGGAGGUAUCAGAAGUGCGAAUGCUGACAUAAGUAACGAUAAAGCGGGUGAAAAGCCCGCUCGCCGGAAGACCAAGGGUUCCUGUCCAACGUUAAUCGGGGCAGGGUGAGUCGACCCCUAAGGCGAGGCCGAAAGGCGUAGUCGAUGGGAAACAGGUUAAUAUUCCUGUACUUGGUGUUACUGCGAAGGGGGGACGGAGAAGGCUAUGUUGGCCGGGCGACGGUUGUCCCGGUUUAAGCGUGUAGGCUGGUUUUCCAGGCAAAUCCGGAAAAUCAAGGCUGAGGCGUGAUGACGAGGCACUACGGUGCUGAAGCAACAAAUGCCCUGCUUCCAGGAAAAGCCUCUAAGCAUCAGGUAACAUCAAAUCGUACCCAAACCGACACAGGUGGUCAGGUAGAGAAUACCAAGGCGCUUGAGAGAACUCGGGUGAAGGAACUAGGCAAAAUGGUGCCGUAACUUCGGGAGAAGGCACGCUGAUAUGUAGGUGAAGUCCCUCGCGGAUGGAGCUGAAAUCAGUCGAAGAUACCAGCUGGCUGCAACUGUUUAUUAAAAACACAGCACUGUGCAAACACGAAAGUGGACGUAUACGGUGUGACGCCUGCCCGGUGCCGGAAGGUUAAUUGAUGGGGUCAGCGCAAGCGAAGCUCUUGAUCGAAGCCCCGGUAAACGGCGGCCGUAACUAUAACGGUCCUAAGGUAGCGAAAUUCCUUGUCGGGUAAGUUCCGACCUGCACGAAUGGCGUAAUGAUGGCCAGGCUGUCUCCACCCGAGACUCAGUGAAAUUGAACUCGCUGUGAAGAUGCAGUGUACCCGCGGCAAGACGGAAAGACCCCGUGAACCUUUACUAUAGCUUGACACUGAACAUUGAGCCUUGAUGUGUAGGAUAGGUGGGAGGCUUGGAAGUGUGGACGCCAGUCUGCAUGGAGCCGACCUUGAAAUACCACCCUUUAAUGUUUGAUGUUCUAACGUUGACCCGUAAUCCGGGUUGCGGACAGUGUCUGGUGGGUAGUUUGACUGGGGCGGUCUCCUCCUAAAGAGUAACGGAGGAGCACGAAGGUUGGCUAAUCCUGGUCGGACAUCAGGAGGUUAGUGCAAUGGCAUAAGCCAGCUUGACUGCGAGCGUGACGGCGCGAGCAGGUGCGAAAGCAGGUCAUAGUGAUCCGGUGGUUCUGAAUGGAAGGGCCAUCGCUCAACGGAUAAAAGGUACUCCGGGGAUAACAGGCUGAUACCGCCCAAGAGUUCAUAUCGACGGCGGUGUUUGGCACCUCGAUGUCGGCUCAUCACAUCCUGGGGCUGAAGUAGGUCCCAAGGGUAUGGCUGUUCGCCAUUUAAAGUGGUACGCGAGCUGGGUUUAGAACGUCGUGAGACAGUUCGGUCCCUAUCUGCCGUGGGCGCUGGAGAACUGAGGGGGGCUGCUCCUAGUACGAGAGGACCGGAGUGGACGCAUCACUGGUGUUCGGGUUGUCAUGCCAAUGGCACUGCCCGGUAGCUAAAUGCGGAAGAGAUAAGUGCUGAAAGCAUCUAAGCACGAAACUUGCCCCGAGAUGAGUUCUCCCUGACUCCUUGAGAGUCCUGAAGGAACGUUGAAGACGACGACGUUGAUAGGCCGGGUGUGUAAGCGCAGCGAUGCGUUGAGCUAACCGGUACUAAUGAACCGUGAGGCUUAACCUU
RNAcentral lists this ribosomal RNA (2905 nucleotides) under Escherichia coli 9.0111. RNAcentral's name for it is "bacterial LSU rRNA". It matches the Rfam family "Bacterial large subunit ribosomal RNA". Lineage: Bacteria; Pseudomonadati; Pseudomonadota; Gammaproteobacteria; Enterobacterales; Enterobacteriaceae. The record is from RNAcentral.